This 253-nucleotide ribosomal RNA is filed under the name uncultured bacterium. Its description in RNAcentral is "partial 16S ribosomal RNA". It matches the Rfam family "Bacterial small subunit ribosomal RNA", at positions 524 to 776 of the family's 1533-position model. The record is from RNAcentral.
GACAGAGGGGGCAAGCGUUGUCCGGACUGACUGGGCGUAAAGCGCGCGCAGGCGGCGCUGGGCGUCGGUGCUGAAAUCGGGCCGCUUAACGGCCCGCGGCGUGCCGAUACGCCAGUGCUGGAGCGCGGGCGAGGGUGGUGGAAUUGCCGGUGUAGUGGUGAAAUGCGUAGAGAUCGGAAGGAACGCCAGUGGUGAAGACGACUACCUGGACCAAUACUGACACUGAGGCGCGAAAGCGUGGGGAUCAAACAGG